Molecule: small nucleolar RNA, 99 nt
Organism: Nycticebus coucang (slow loris)
Lineage: Eukaryota; Metazoa; Chordata; Mammalia; Primates; Lorisidae
Product: small nucleolar RNA U13
Exons: 1
Source: RefSeq, a predicted model, not a curated record
UUCCUUUCCUAGUUCUUAGGUGUGAUGACUGUAUUUUCACACUCACAUUUGAGAGGUGCCACUCUCAAACCUUCUUGUGAGAUAGGCACGUUAGUAAAA